RNAcentral lists this ribosomal RNA (497 nucleotides) under uncultured bacterium. RNAcentral describes it as "partial 16S ribosomal RNA". It matches the Rfam family "Bacterial small subunit ribosomal RNA", at positions 28 to 507 of the family's 1533-position model. The record is from RNAcentral.
GAUGAACGCUGGCGGCGUGCCUAAUACAUGCAAGUCGAGCGAACGGACGAGAAGCUUGCUUCUCUGAUGUUAGCGGCGGACGGGUGAGUAACACGUGGAUAACCUACCUAUAAGACUGGGAUAACUUCGGGAAACCGGAGCUAAUACCGGAUAAUAUUUUGAACCGCAUGGUUCAAAAGUGAAAGACGGUCUUGCUGUCACUUAUAGAUGGAUCCGCGCUGCAUUAGCUAGUUGGUAAGGUAACGGCUUACCAAGGCAACGAUGCAUAGCCGACCUGAGAGGGUGACCGGCCACACUGGAACUGAGACACGGUCCAGACUCCUACGGGAGGCAGCAGUAGGGAAUCUUCCGCAAUGGGCGAAAGCCUGACGGAGCAACGCCGCGUGAGUGAUGAAGGUCUUCGGAUCGUAAAACUCUGUUAUUAGGGAAGAACAUAUGUGUAAGUAACUGUGCUCAUCUUGACGGUACCUAAUCAGAAAGCCACGGCUAACUACGUG